UUUGAACUGCCAAACCAACAAGUGAAGAUAAAUUAAUCUGGGCUGUUCAGUACCUCUUAUCUCUGUUUUGACUUUCUUAGGAGCUCUCACACUGUAUGAAUUUUCAGCUUCAUACUUUAGGCAAAGGAAUAUCCGAAGGAAGCUAUUCUUUCUUACUUGUGAUUUCACAUUACUGCCCCAAGACUUCUGCAUCAUCACACAGUGUGAAUUGCAAACAAAUUCAUUUUUGAAGAAUUUUAAUCUUUUGUAUGUCUGUAGAAACUUCAGUUGAGGAACGAGUCUUCUGGCAGCUUAAUGAUAGCAAUGUGCAGGUUUAAAAUAAAUAUGUCUGUCACAAGCCAGUAAAUAGCACAACAAAAAUAAAAUGAAAAUAAAAUGGAAUACUUUGGCGUUCUCUGUUAUGCAAGUUGGCACACAAUUUCUGAAAACUGGUUUCUAUAAGUGGUGCCAUCAGCUAAGAGAUUAGUAUUUGAUGUGCAGAUCUACUGCCACAGUGAUACUGGAUUUAACACGAUCCAUCAUUUUUACCCAUAAAAACAGUGCUUGUAGGCACAAUGUCCAAGCUUUCAUUUUGAGUGUCUCUUAUAGUAUGACAACUUUGUUUCUCAAUAUUUAUUUUUGUAAGAGAAGACUGAACAUACUAAAAACAUUCUAUGAUACCUUUACAUCUCCUAUACUAAAUAAAGAUAGAUUUAAGAAGUUAGGAUGAAUCCCUCCCUUUAAAUAAGGCAAUUCCCUUGACUAUGUUGAAGCUCACAUUUCAUCUUCAAUAUUGGAUAUUCUGGAGAAGAACAUCAGAACUGGAUAGGAAUACAAAGACAUGACUGGUUUAGCUUCCAGGAAAAAUCUAUUUAAUUUUUUGAGUAUUAACAGCUGCAAAAGUAUUAAGAAUUUAGAGCCAUUCAUAGAUUAUAACUUCAUUCUUCAAAAGGAAUACACUCAGCAAAUACCUACCUUCCUAAGCAACAAAUCUUAUGUCAGAGAGAAGUGUGGUAUCUGGGUAUAGUGAGUACAAUUGCAAGAUAGUGAAACUGCAACUGAUAGAAACUUCAACACGAUUACAACUAUCUGUUACUGCCACAUGCAAACUUCUGUUUCUCCAUUUUUCCUUGUGUAGAUCUCUUUUUAUUACUUUAACGGCUACAUUUAAGGAAGAAAGUGAAAUGAUUUUUAGGAUAAUGUUUUAGUGCCUGUUUCACAAUGGUUUUUAUUGAGCUGUAAAGCACUUGCAUGCAUAGAGAGAAGAAGGUGCAUUUUAGAAAUAAAACUAUUAAGCAACAUUAUCUUGCCAUGGAUCAUUCCCACUGGGAUAGAAGAACCAUUUGAAAAGCAUAACUGAAUUCAGUUAAAAUAUGAUACGUUUUGAUCUCCAUCUUACCUACAUUUUCAGCAUUGCAUAUUGUUCAAGUAACAAUAAUAAAGGCAUGACUGUGUUUAGAAGUCUUUAUCUGAUCAUAUGUUGCACAAUGCCUUUAUAUUUUCGCCAAGCUACUUGUAGUUGGGAAUAAUUUAAAUAUACCAGCCUCCAUCUAGAGAAGUGGAUAGACAUGUAAGUUCCUAAAUUUAAUUGUUCAUAUAUGGUCCAUCACUAGGAAUCAAUGUGACAUGUAAGCCCCCCUGAAAACAUGCCUUUCCAUAUUAUGGCAUGAAUGGACUGCAGGUAAAUGACUACUUAUAUUUGAGACAAAACUACACAAAUGUGUAUCCAAAGUAGAAUUCACAGAAUUGACUUCAUAAAUUUUCUGAGGCCUGAACAAGAAGUACUGUAUUUAUCUUCUUGCUUGUGAGUAGACAUUCACAGAGACCAUGGAGAUAUGUCCAUUGGUUAUUAUGAUGUGACUGUUUACUGAUUCUCCCUAAAGAAGGUAGAAAACCUCUCCCUUAAGUGAGUAUUAAAUUAGCAUGUAUUUUUCUGAACUGUAGGCCUCAUAUCCAUUUUGUAAGUCACUGGAUCCUUUGAGUGAUCUGCACACAGGAGAUUAACAAUGCCUUUUGAAGUAUAUUGGUUAUCCUAUCACACUUGUGAACACUGCCUAAUAUAGAAAAGUAAUAUUACUACCUAAGUACGCAGUAGGGAAACAUCAUUUCUGCUUUACAGAUGGCCAGGUGAGAUAUGAAGAAAUUAGGUGACUUUUCCAAUGUCAAACAAGAAACCUGUUUCAGAAUGGAGAAAGUCUCGGCCUUCUGAGUUCUUGGCUGAUUUCCUGAACAAUCAAACUAUUCCUUUCUUCUGGCAUGAAUAAACCUCUGGUUGCAAACUGGGAUGCUGAAAGCAUCAGUUUAUUGGAUAAAAAAAAGCAAAAGGAACCAUCUGACACAGUAUAAAAUAACCUGUACGGCCCCUUAUCCAACAUCACAUCCCAAAAUCCCAUAUGAAGUUAAAUAGCA
Molecule: long non-coding RNA, 2388 nt
Organism: Gallus gallus (chicken)
Lineage: Eukaryota; Metazoa; Chordata; Aves; Galliformes; Phasianidae
Source: Ensembl